Molecule: ribosomal RNA, 278 nt
Filed under: uncultured prokaryote
Description: partial 16S ribosomal RNA
Rfam family: Bacterial small subunit ribosomal RNA
Source: RNAcentral
UACGGAGGUUCCAAGCGUUGUUCGGAAUUACUGGGCGUAAAGGGAGCGCAGGCGGGCAAGUCAGUCUGAAGUGAAAUCCCGGGGCUCAACCUCGGACUUGCUUCGGAUACUGCUUGUCUUGAGUUCGUGAUGGGAAGACGGAAUUCAGGGUGUAGCGGUGAAAUGCACAGAUAUCCUGAGGAACACCGGUGGCGAAAGCGGUCUUCUGGCGCGAAACUGACGCUGAGGCUCGAAAGCGUGGGUAGCAAACGGGAUUAGAUACCCCGGUAGUCCCUGAG